AAAGAAUGAGAAUGGAAGGAGUUAUUUGUCAGAGGAUGUUGAUCGGUCCCAUGAUGGGGAGCAUUCUUCUCAUUUGACUACUGGGAGGAAUGAAUUGAAUGUUCGUGGUGGAUUGAGAAAGAAUGGGAAUGGAAGGAGGUAUAUAUCAGAAGAUGUUGAUCGGUCCCAUGAUGGGGAGCGUUCUUCUCAUUUGAGUACUGGGAGGAAUGAAAUGAAUGCUCAUGGUGGAUUGAGAAAGAAUGGGAAUGGGAGGAGGUAUUCGUCAGGGGCUGUUGAUCAGUCCCAUGAUUGGGAGCGUUCUUCUCAUUUGAGUACUGGGAGGAAUGAAAUGAAUGCUCGUGGUGGAUUGAGAAAGAAUGGGAAUGGGAGGAGGUAUUCGUCAGGGGAUGUUGAUCAGUCCCAUGAUAGGGAGCGUUCUUCUCAUUUGAGUACUGGGAGGAAU
This 442-nucleotide long non-coding RNA is filed under the name Trifolium pratense (red clover). RNAcentral's name for it is "long non-coding RNA (TPRA_LNC002728)". Lineage: Eukaryota; Viridiplantae; Streptophyta; Magnoliopsida; Fabales; Fabaceae. The record is from RNAcentral.